This 301-nucleotide ribosomal RNA is filed under the name uncultured bacterium. Its description in RNAcentral is "partial 16S ribosomal RNA". It matches the Rfam family "Bacterial small subunit ribosomal RNA", at positions 509 to 809 of the family's 1533-position model. The record is from RNAcentral.
CAGUAGCCGCGGUGAUACAGAGGGUGCGAGCGUUAAUCGGAUUUACUGGGCGUAAAGCGUGCGUAGGUGGUUCAUUAAGUCGGAUGUGAAAUCCCUGAGCUUAACUUAGGAAUUGCAUUCGAUACUGGGAAGCUAGAGUAUGGGAGAGGAUGGUAGAAUUCCAGGUGUAGCGGUGAAAUGCGUAGAGAUCUGGAGGAAUACCGAUGGCGAAGGCAGCCAUCUGGCCUAAUACUGACGCUGAGGUACGAAAGCAUGGGGAGCAAACAGGAUUAGAUACCCCGGUAGUCCCUGUCUCUUAUAU